GGAAACAUUGGAAGCUGGUCUGGGACAGCUAUAGUGCAGUCGAGCGAAUUCUUUAGAGCUUGCUUUAAAGAAGUUAGCGGCGGACGGGUGAGUAACACGUGGGCAACCUGCCUGUAAGACUGGAAUAACUUCGGGAAACCGGAGCUAAUACCGGAUAAUAUAUAGUACCUCCUGGUACUAUAUUGAAAAAUGGCUCCUAGCUAUCAUUAGAGAGGGGCCCGCGGCGCAUUAGCUAGUUGGUGAGGUAACGGCUCACCAAGGCAACGAUGCGUACCCGACCUGAGAGGGUGAUCGGCCACACGGGGACUGAGACACGGCCCAGACUCCUACGGGAGGCACCAGUAGGGAACCUUCCACAAUGGACGAAAGUCUGAUGGAGAACCGCCGCGUGAGCGAUGAAGGCCUUCGGGCCGUAAGGUUGGUUGUUUGGGAAAAAACAAGUGCGAGAUUACCUGCUCCGCCCCUGGGGGGGGAGUUAACCAAAAGCCCCGGCUUAAUUACGUGGGACAGGCGGGGGUAAAAAUUAAGGGGGAAAGCUUUGUCGGGAAAUUUUG
RNAcentral lists this ribosomal RNA (554 nucleotides) under Sutcliffiella cohnii. RNAcentral describes it as "bacterial SSU rRNA". It matches the Rfam family "Bacterial small subunit ribosomal RNA", at positions 22 to 556 of the family's 1533-position model. The record is from RNAcentral. Lineage: Bacteria; Bacillati; Bacillota; Bacilli; Caryophanales; Bacillaceae.